GGCUUAGGAUGAACGCUGGCGGCGUGCUUAACACAUGCAAGUCGAACGGGAAGCGGCCCUUCGGGACUGCUUCUAGUGGCGGACGGGUGAGUAACACGUGAGGAACCUGCCUUGGAGUGGGGAAUAACGGCUGGAAACAGCCGCUAAUACCGCAUGACACCAUACCAUCGCAUGAUGGAGUGGUCAAAGAUUUAUCGCUCUGAGAUGGCCUCGCGUCUGAUUAGCUUGUUGGCGGGGUAACGGCCCACCAAGGCGACGAUCAGUAGCCGGACUGAGAGGUUGACCGGCCACAUUGGGACUGAGACACGGCCCAGACUCCUACGGGAGGCAGCAGUGGGGAAUAUUGGGCAAUGGGCGCCAAGCCUGACCCAGCAACGCCGCGUGAAGGAUGAAGGUUUUCGGAUUGUAAACUUCUUUUAAGUGGGACGAUGAUGACGGUACCACUUGAAUAAGCCCCGGCUAACUACGUGCCAGCCGCGGC
RNAcentral lists this ribosomal RNA (481 nucleotides) under uncultured bacterium. RNAcentral describes it as "bacterial SSU rRNA". It matches the Rfam family "Bacterial small subunit ribosomal RNA", at positions 21 to 518 of the family's 1533-position model. The record is from RNAcentral.